GUCAGACUUUGUGCGUAUCUAUGUGCCUGUGUCAGUGUGUAUCAGUGUGUGGUAGACUUUGUGCGUAUAUGUGUGUGUGUAUCUGUGAGUGGCAGAGUUUGUGCAUAUCUGUGUGUGAAAGUUUGUAUCAGUGUGUGGCAGAGUUUGUGCAUAUCUGUUUGCACGUGCAAGUUUGUAUCACUGUGUGGCAGACUUUAUGCGUAUCUGUGUGGCAGACUUUGUGUGUAUCUAUGUGCGUGUGCCAGUUUGUAUCUGUGUGUGUCAGACUUUGUGCGUAUCUGUGUGCCUGUGUCAGUGUGUAUCUGUGUGUGGCAGAC
Non-coding RNA from Pelobates cultripes (western spadefoot toad), 317 nucleotides. The record is from the annotation of a GenBank genome assembly. Lineage: Eukaryota; Metazoa; Chordata; Amphibia; Anura; Pelobatidae.